AAAAUUGCUGGUGAAACAUGCAGGGGCAUAAAUUUGCCCCUGAAACAAAACACAUGGAUACAGAGUUCCUGGAUAAAGGGAACAGAUUUAAAGGUUAUAUUGUAACUAAGUAGGGAAUUACACUCUGUCAACACUUUCAGUCCCUGUAUGCCUCAGUUUAUUUUCCAUUCUUUUCUAGGCACCUAUGAGUUUUGGCAGACCUCAAUCUGAAUUAUCUGUAAACUGGUUUAUAUUUAUCAGAUAUCCUGCAUUUUCAACAACCUCCCAGACCUUAAACUCCUUUUUGGAAGUUACCUUCAGUGGCUUUGCAUUAUGUCUGACCCAUGGUUGAUAUUGAUUGAGUGGAUGAGAGACUGCCAAGGACGCUUUCUGAAAUCUGCUAAGGUCCUGAGCCUCAACGUUAAGACCUAUAGGAAUCCUUUAGGAUGUCUGCUGAGUGGCCUGUCUCUCCAAGUGAGGCCAUUGCUUGCCUGUUAGGGUUUGGGGCCACUCUUGCCCUAUCCACCCUUAUAGUCCCUGCAUAAAGACCCUGCUGCUGACACCACCUUGUUGCAAUGUCAUUUGUAAAUCUUUGCCAAC
Molecule: long non-coding RNA, 579 nt
Filed under: Vulpes vulpes (red fox)
Lineage: Eukaryota; Metazoa; Chordata; Mammalia; Carnivora; Canidae
Description: lncRNA (ENSVVUG00000028473.1)
Source: RNAcentral